Molecule: long non-coding RNA, 862 nt
Organism: Oryza sativa Japonica Group (Japanese rice)
Lineage: Eukaryota; Viridiplantae; Streptophyta; Magnoliopsida; Poales; Poaceae
Source: RefSeq, a predicted model, not a curated record
CCUCUCCUCUUCCCCCGCACGCGCUCCGCACCCACACCUCGAUGGGCCGCGCGUCUCGCCCCGAUCGCCUCCCCUCUCUCUCUCUCUCUCUCUCUCUCGCACAAUCAUCGCCGCCACCACCCUCUGCGCCCCGCACGCUCCCCUCUCCCCUCCUCUCUCUCGCACACCCGCCGCCGCCGCUCUCCCCUCCUCUCUCUCGCACACCCGCCGCCGGCGCCGCCGGCGGCGUCGAUCCGACGUCGAUUCCCAUCUUCAGAUCGACGCCACCGGCGCCCCCUCACGCCGCUUCUACUCACGCCGCAAGAACGCUAUCGCCUCGCCUCAUCGAUCUCCGACAACACCGCCGCGCGCCGCCGCCGAUCUCCGCCGCAAGAACAACGUCGCUCCGCCUCACCGAUCUCCUCCGACGAUAUUCCGCGUCAAUUAAUCUUCAGAUCAAUAAGGCAGUGGAGGCCGAGGAGGCCGCCAUCCACAACCGACAACGACAACGCGAUGCUGCUGCCGCCUCAAGAUCCACCGCUGCCUAUCCGUACUCACGCCACCGUUCCUCCUCCGCCGAAAGGUUCAGGGCACCCUUCGCCACCCCUACCCCAUCCCUAAUAUGUCUCCUCUCUCCCGAUAAGUAUCCCUGAUGUCGAUCUUAUGUAAAAGCAUGAUUUAUGCUCAAUAUAUAUUCAAUGUAAUUUGUGCUGGAAAUUGGGAAUCAUGGAUGACAUUUUCUGUAUAUCUACAUCCAAAGCCAACUGUGAACAGUUGUAUUUUCCUCUGAUAAGCACUUUCAAACUCUUGAAUAUGUACCAUACUGCUGAUUUCAGUAUGGUGGGGAAUUGAUGUGGCUGGAAUAAGAAAAAACAUUCUCACA